CCUAUUCAGGUAAUGAACAAGCUAUAUGAAGGGUACUGCAAUGUCUUUGACUGAUUUACACAUUAUUAGAAGGGUAGACAAUUUCUUAAAAUUCUACCAACUUUUUUUUAUGUUGUAAUGUAGGAUGAAAAGAAGCAAUGGGUUAGGAGAUAGAAAAGUGUUGGCAGAUGGUCACGUGAUCCUUUGCUACCUAACACCCCCCAACAUAUCAGUCACGUGUCUCUCUUUGUAACAUUUGACACUUUGGGUCCUACUGAAACUGCCGAGAGGAAAAUCUCCUAGCCUUGAAAAUGUCUAUUACCACUUUAUUUUCUUCAAUAACAAAAGACAAAACGUUAAAUAAGUCAAAUUUUGCUUGCUUGACUAAACACAACCUAUGACUAGGUUCAACCAUUCCAAAC
Molecule: long non-coding RNA, 401 nt
Filed under: Gossypium raimondii (Peruvian cotton)
Lineage: Eukaryota; Viridiplantae; Streptophyta; Magnoliopsida; Malvales; Malvaceae
Description: long non-coding RNA (GRAI_LNC006819)
Source: RNAcentral